Gallus gallus (chicken) is the source of this 190-nucleotide long non-coding RNA. RefSeq lists it as uncharacterized. The transcript has 2 exons. Lineage: Eukaryota; Metazoa; Chordata; Aves; Galliformes; Phasianidae. The record is from RefSeq and is a predicted model, not a curated record.
ACACGUACCAUCGUGCAGCUGAAACACAAACAUCUGCCGUUCACUUGUGUGAACCUCUGUGAUGGCAUCGUUGCAGGAUGUGCCCCGUGCCCACCAGAGGGAGUAUGAGAAACACGUGGAGAGCGUUGACAGUCCAAAGAUAACUGCCCAGGAAUGAGAGAAGCCUUCAGAUGCUGCUAUGAAUUACAGG